CGCAGAAUUUUGGGGAAUUUCCAUGGUUUUUUCCAGGAAUGUUUUCCACACAAAACAGGGAAUUUUGGGAAUUCCCAAUGGGAUUUCUGGGAACGUUUUCCACCCUGGAAUUUUGGGAAUUUUCCACUGUUUUUCCUGGCAAUGUUUUCCACACAAAACGGGGAAUUUUGGGAAUUCCCAGUGGGUUUUUUGGGAACAUUUUCCACCCUGGAAUUUUGGGAAUUAUCACCAUUUUUCCAGGACAAUUUUCCACGUGGAAUGGGAGAAUUUUGGGAAUUCCCAAUGGUUUUUCCAGGAACAUUUUCCACCCUGGAAUUUUGGGAAUUUUCCAUUGUUUUUCCUGGCAACAUUUUCCACACAAAACGGGGAAUUUUGGGAAUUCCCAAUGGGUUUAUUGGGAGCAUUUUCCACAGUGGAAUUUUGGGAAUUUUCCACUGUUUUUUCAGGAACAUUUUCCACUUGGAAUUGGAGAAUUUUGGGAAUUCCCAAUGGGAUUUCUGGGAACAAUUUCCACCCUGGAAUUUUGGGAAUUCUCGUUGUUUUUUCAGGAACAUUUUCCACUUGGAACAGGGAAUUUUGGGAAUUCCCAAUGGGUUUUCCGGGAACAUUUUCCACCCUGGAAUUUUGGGAAUUCCCGUUGUUUUUCCUGGCAACGUUUUCCACACAAAACGGGGAAUUUUGGGAAUUCCCAAUGGGAUUUCCGGGAACAUUUUCCACCCUGGAAUUUUGGGAAUUCCCGCCCUUUUUCCAGGAAUCUUUUAUUUGUGGAAUGAGGGAAAUUCAGGGAAUUCCCAGUGGUUUUCUGGGAACGUUUUCGACUCGGAAUUGAGGAAUUUUGGGAAUUCCCAAUGGGUUUUCUGGGAACAUUUUCCACCCUGGAAUUUUGGGAAUUUUCCACUGUUUUUCCUGGCAAUGUUUUCCACACAAAACGGGGAAUUUUGGGAAUUCCCAGUGGUUUUUCCAAGAACAUUUUCCACCCUGGAAUUUUGGGAAUUAUCACCAUUUUUUCCAGGACAAUUUUCCACAUGGAAUUGGAGAAUUUUGGGAAUUCCCAAUGGGUUUUCUGGGAACAUUUUCCACCCUGGAAUUUUGGGAAUUUUCCACUGUUUUUUCAGGAACAUUUUCCACACAAAACGGGGAAUUUUGGGAAUUCCCAAUGGGUUUUUUGGGAACAUUUUCCUCGCUGGAAUUUUGGGAAUUAUCACCAUUUUUUCCAGGACAAUUUUCCACACAAAACAGGGAAUUUUGGGAAUUCCCAAUGGGUUUUCCGGGAACAUUUUAAACCCUGGAAUUUUGGGAAUUCCCGCCCUUUUUCCAGGAAUCUUUUAUUUGUGGAAUGAGGGGAAAUUCAGGGAAUU
This 1358-nucleotide long non-coding RNA is filed under the name Zonotrichia albicollis (white-throated sparrow). RNAcentral describes it as "lncRNA (ENSZALG00000003258.1)". Lineage: Eukaryota; Metazoa; Chordata; Aves; Passeriformes; Passerellidae. The record is from RNAcentral.